GCAGCUUCCUAACAGCUCAGUGGGUUACAGCAUGGUGCUCAUAAUGCCAAGGUUGUGGGUUCGAUCCCCGUAUGAGACAGAGCUGCA
This is a non-coding RNA of Podarcis lilfordi (Lilford's wall lizard), 87 nucleotides long. Lineage: Eukaryota; Metazoa; Chordata; Lepidosauria; Squamata; Lacertidae. The record is from the annotation of a GenBank genome assembly.